GCGGGAUGGAGCAGUCUGGUAGCUCGUCGGGCUCAUAACCCGAAGGUCGUAGGUUCAAAUCCUA
This 64-nucleotide transfer RNA is filed under the name Bdellovibrionales bacterium CG11_big_fil_rev_8_21_14_0_20_38_13. RNAcentral describes it as "tRNA-Met". It matches the Rfam family "tRNA", at positions 2 to 62 of the family's 71-position model. Rfam says of the family: Transfer RNA (tRNA) molecules are approximately 80 nucleotides in length. Their secondary structure includes four short double-helical elements and three loops (D, anti-codon, and T loops). The record is from RNAcentral. Lineage: Bacteria; Pseudomonadati; Bdellovibrionota; Bdellovibrionia; Bdellovibrionales.